RNAcentral lists this long non-coding RNA (968 nucleotides) under Androctonus crassicauda. The record is from RNAcentral. Lineage: Eukaryota; Metazoa; Arthropoda; Arachnida; Scorpiones; Buthidae.
AUUUAAUUCAUUCCAUAUUUAAAAAAAAUAAACAAUUUAAAUUUUAAGUAGAUAUUUACUAAAACAUUUUUAAAAUUAGAAAUUAUUAUAUAUGAAACAAACUCAUUAGUAGUUUGUCUGAUGAUGAUAGCAUGCUUUGUAUAUUCAUUCAUAUUAGCAAGACACAAAUUAUUUGACCUUGAAACUUUUGCUCCUAGACUGUUUUUUGUAAAAUACUGUUUGCAGGCCAGAUGCAGCCUGUCUAGUUUUACACUAUAGCUCACAAAUCUAAUUUCAAAAAAAGAAAUAAAAUAUCUUAAGAUUAUUAAAUAUUUGUUAUAUAAUCAUUGCUUAUGAAUUUUUAUUGUAUUGAUUUAGAUUUUGGUCCACUAACCAAAACGACAAUCUAAAAUAUAAUGUCAUCAAUGAAAAGUAAAUAAAAUAUAUAUUCACAGAUAGUUUUCAAUUUAUGACAGGACUCAGUUUCAAACCCACUGUCAUAAGUCAGAACAAUUGGAAGUUGAAAAUGCCCAAAAUUUAUGAAUUUCUCAUUUCUGAUGUUUACUGGGACACUAUAUAUUAUCUUAAUAAACAUAAAGAACACAAAACUACAAAGAAUAAAAGAAAAAAGACACUUUCUAUUCAGGGACUUGAACUUAUUGAAUUGCAUUGACCCAACUGCAGAAUUAAUGGAUUUCACCACUAUCAUAAGUUGAGGACUACCUAUGUAUACUGUUUAUAAUAUAUCCCACAAAUGUUUUCAUUACUUAAUUUAGUUCACAUUUCAAAAAAAUUUGUUCAUCCCUAUUGUAGUCUCUUUAAGUUAAAAUUUUGGUACAAAUUAUAUUUCCUCAUAUAAAUGAUUUUUUUAAAUCAGGGUAAACCUGUAUUAUAUACAUUUGAAUUAGCUAUUAAUUGAUUCAUCUAUUAUUCUAUACACACACCAGUAUAGAUAGUAGCAAUAUUGAACUGAAAUUGUUAAAUAUAAU